Cuculus canorus (common cuckoo) is the source of this 325-nucleotide long non-coding RNA. RefSeq lists it as uncharacterized. The transcript is spliced from 3 exons. The record is from RefSeq and is a predicted model, not a curated record. NCBI's taxonomy places the organism in Eukaryota, Metazoa, Chordata, Aves, Cuculiformes, Cuculidae.
AUGCAAAUUUUCUUCUUCACACUUCUCAGUCUUCAACUGAACCAGGAGUUUCUUGCAGGAUGGAGAGCACUUUAGGGCUUGCUCCUGAGCUAAAUGCAAGCUUUGUACAGCAUUAUCAGAUGCCAGUUUACAUCAGGAUCUUUGUGAAGAAACAGCAGUUCAAGACAGAAUUACACUAGCUGCUAAGGGAUCAAAGAAGUAAAACACAGGCUGAACUUAGACCCAGAAGACAAAAUGGUCCACUACUACAUCGUCUAAGUGUCUUCAACUUCUCAUGCAAACAAACAAAAUGCAGCACACAUCAGACAGCGGUACUUACACUCUU